Chelonoidis abingdonii (Abingdon island giant tortoise) is the source of this 129-nucleotide ribosomal RNA. NCBI's taxonomy places the organism in Eukaryota, Metazoa, Chordata, Testudines, Testudinidae. The record is from Ensembl.
ACCAGUGACCAAACUCUUGUAAUUGGCUCGUAUGUGUUCCAAUUCCAGCUGGUGUACAAGCUAAGCAGUAUCAAGCCUGGUCACGACUGGGGUGGGAGACCUCCAAGGAAAUCUGGAAGUGCUCUGGGC